Molecule: ribosomal RNA, 160 nt
Filed under: Oxalis arbuscula
Lineage: Eukaryota; Viridiplantae; Streptophyta; Magnoliopsida; Oxalidales; Oxalidaceae
Description: 5.8S ribosomal RNA
Rfam family: 5.8S ribosomal RNA
About the family: 5.8S ribosomal RNA (5.8S rRNA) is a component of the large subunit of the eukaryotic ribosome.
Source: RNAcentral
AAAACGACUCUCGACAACGGAUAUCUCGGCUCUCGCAUCGAUGAAGAACGUAGCGAAAUGCGAUACUUGGUGUGAAUUGCAGAAUCCCGUGAACCAUCGAGUCUUUGAACGCAAGUUGCGUCCCAAGCCGUCAGGCCGAGGGCACGUCUGCCUGGGUGUC